This 1570-nucleotide ribosomal RNA is filed under the name Potorous tridactylus (long-nosed potoroo). Its description in RNAcentral is "16S ribosomal RNA". It matches the Rfam family "Bacterial large subunit ribosomal RNA". The record is from RNAcentral. Lineage: Eukaryota; Metazoa; Chordata; Mammalia; Diprotodontia; Potoroidae.
GCUAACCUAAGCCCACCCGACCAUAAAAACAAAUAUUCUCAAUACUAAGCUAAACCAUUUAACCUAUCUAAGUAUAGGCGAUAGAACAGAUACUCAGGCGCAAUAACGCAAGUACCGCAAGGGAAACAUGAAAGAACAGUCAAAAGCACCAAAAAGCAAAGAUUAGACCUUAUACCUUUUGCAUAAUGAUUUAGCCAGUAAAACCGGACAAAAAGAAUUAUGCCCGCCUUCCCGUAAAUCAGGUGAGCUACUAUAAAACAGUCAGCAGAACUAACUCGUCUAUGUAGCAAAAUAGUGAGAAGAUUUUAUAGUAGAGGUGAAAAGCCUACCGAACUUGAUGAUAGCUGGUUAUCCAAAAUACGAAUCUUAGUUCAACUUUAAAUUUAAUUAAAAUACUGGUAAAUAUAACUUAAAUUUAAAAGCUAAUCAAAAGGGGGACAACUCUUUUGAUCAUGUAAACAAACUCCAUUAGAGGAUAAUGAACACCAAAAAACAUUGUAGGCCCAAAAGCAGCCACCAAUUAAGAAAGCGUUAAAGCUCAAAUCCACAUAACAUCUUAAUCCCAAAAAUUACAUCAAAAUCCCUAACUCAGUCUAUUGGAUGAUUCUAUAACCCUAUAGAAGACAUAAUGCUAAAAUCAGUAACAAGAAACAUUUCUCCUAGCACAAGCCUACAUUAGUAACGGAACCCCCCCUAACAAUUAACAAACCAAUAAUCAUAUAUACAAGACUAGUCCCACUAUUACAUAAAUUGUUAACCCAACACAGGAGUGCUCUCAGGAAAGAUUAAAAAGAAUAAAAGGAACUCGGCAAACAAAAACCCCGCCUGUUUACCAAAAACAUCACCUCUAGCAUAUCAAGUAUUAGAGGCAACGCCUGCCCAGUGAGUUUAACACUUUAACGGCCGCGGUAUCCUGACCGUGCAAAGGUAGCAUAAUCACUUGUCUUUUAAUUAGAGACUUGUAUGAAUGGCAUCACGAGGGUUUAACUGUCUCUUAUUCUCAAUCAGUGAAAUUGACCUUCCCGUGCAGAGGCGGGAAUACUAUUACAAGACGAGAAGACCCUGCGGAGCUUAAGAUUCAUAAUCUAACUUAACCGAUUCUCACCCUAUGUAGGAACAAAACAAAUUAACCUAGAUUAUAAUCUUCGGUUGGGGUGACCUCGGAGUACAAAACAACCUCCGAAUGAUUCAAGCUUAGAUUCACUAAUCUCGGCGUAAUAAUACCAGUAAUUGACCCAUAUUUUGAUCAACGGAACAAGUUACCCCAGGGAUAACAGCGCAAUCCUAUUCAAGAGCCCAUAUCGACAAUUAGGGUUUACGACCUCGAUGUUGGAUCAGGACAUCCAAAUGGUGCAGCCGCUAUUAAUGGUUCGUUUGUUCAACGAUUAAAGUCCUACGUGAUCUGAGUUCAGACCGGAGAAAUCCAGGUCGGUUUCUAUCUGUACAUUCAUUUCUCCCAGUACGAAAGGACAAGAGAAAUAAGGCCUACACCACAUAGCGAGCCUUAGAAAUAAGAUAUGAACUAAUCUUAAUAUCCUAACUCAAUUUAUUUACUCUCUAGAACAGGGCU